Molecule: non-coding RNA, 982 nt
Organism: Triticum urartu
Lineage: Eukaryota; Viridiplantae; Streptophyta; Magnoliopsida; Poales; Poaceae
Source: RefSeq, a predicted model, not a curated record
AAAAAACCUACUGCCAGGGUUGAGCUCAUGGUUAUGAUCAAGAAUGAGUCGACACAACAGAUAUGGAGAAACCAGCAACAAAGGCAUAGAAGUUUAAGAACUUUUGAGCUUCUUCCCUCGUAGCAAAAUGCAUCCCUAUUUCAGGUUUCAGCUCACUAUCAAUUGUUCUAUCGUUCCCUCCUUCUGCGGCCCGUCUUUCAUUUUCCAAAAAAUCUUCUAUUGUUUCUUCAUUGAUUUCAUUAUCUUCAUUCUCGUUGUCUUGCACUUGCAGAUGGCAUGCAUCAGUUGAUGUUCCUACCUCUCGAGACUGUCUGGAGGAACCAGCUUGCACACAUGUCGGCGAAUCAAGAUUCCAGAAUCUGCUAUGCUUUCUUUCUUCAGAUUUGUCCAUGCUUUCAGUUUUUUUUAAUGCGACGAGGAGGCAUAUUUAGCCGAUGGACGUAGAUGGAACCGGCAGCAAGAGCAGUAAGCCUUUCUAAAUGAUUUGAAAUUAAGUACAUUCUGUCUUCACUGAUAAGUACACUAUCAAGGACCCAGUAAGCCUUUCUCUAGUCAUUUUUUGUCAUUUUUAUGUCAUUUUCAUCAGUCUCUAUUAGAAGUAAUUUCACAUGUGGUUUUUUGUAAAGGAAUGCAAAGUCAUGAACUGUCAAAUGUUCUUUCACUAAGUUUUUGAGUUAUCUACUUCCCCUAGGGAAAAUCUGCCACUAGUACUAGUAGCUUACACAUGGACUGUCUUCUUUUCUUCAGUCUAGUUUCUGAGUUAUUUUGCAUGUCCUAGGUAAAAUCUGCCACUAGUAACAGGGGGGUGUUGGGGCGAAGGGCAUCAGCCAAGAUAUCUAAGUUGAUCCCCUAACCUCAGCCAAGAUAUCUAAGUUAAUAUGACACAGAGCACCUGUCUUCUCUGAAUUUUCAGUUUUUAUUCACGGCUUGAAAGAUUCUUCAGUAAGGGAAUGUAUGCAACUAGUGAGCUGGGUUGGGGCGA